GUUCGGAAUUACUGGGCGUAAAGCGCGCGUAGGCGGACCAGAAAGUUGGGGGUGGAAAUACCCGGGGCUCAACCCCGGAACCUGCCUCCAAAACUACCUGGUCUAGAGUUCGAGAGAGGUGAGUGGAAUUCCGAGUGUAGAGGUGAAAUUCGUAGAUAUUCGGAGGAACACCAGUGGCGAAGGCGGCUCACUGGCUCGAUACUGACGCUGAGGUGCGAAAGUGUGGGGAGCAAACAGGAUUAGAUACCCUGGUAG
RNAcentral lists this ribosomal RNA (255 nucleotides) under uncultured bacterium. RNAcentral describes it as "partial 16S ribosomal RNA". It matches the Rfam family "Bacterial small subunit ribosomal RNA", at positions 543 to 793 of the family's 1533-position model. The record is from RNAcentral.